AAUGUUAAGAUUUUUUUAAUUAUAGAAUAUUAAAUUAAAUAUUUUAUAUGAGUUAAUCCUCUAAUAUUAAUCUAUUAAAAUAAUUUAAUAUUAAAUAUAUCUAUAUAUUAAAAUUAUAUUUAAAUUUAAUUAAAUUAAAAAUUAACUAUGUUAAAAUUAGUAUAUACUUUUUAUUUUAUUAAGGAACUCGGCUAAUUAUUAUUCACCUGUUUAUCAAAAACAUAGUCUUAUGUAUUUAUAUAAGGUGAAACCUGCCCACUGAUGUUAAAUUUAAUGGCCGCAGUACCUUGACUGUGCUAAGGUAGCAUAAUAAAUUGACUUUUAAUUGGGGCCUUGAAUGAAUGGAUAAAUGGAUAAUUUCUGUCUCAAUAAAAAUUUUAUAAGUUGCUUAAAAGGUGAAAAUUCCUUUAAAUAAAUUAAAUAGACGAGAAGACCCUAGGAGUUUUUAAUUUUGUUGGGGCGACAGUAUAGCAUUAUAACCUAUAUAUAAACAUUUUUAUAAAACGAAUAAUUUUAAUAAUAAAUAAACUACCCUAGGGAUAACAGCAUAAUUUAAUUUUAAGUUUGUGACCUCGAUGUUGGACUAGGGACUUUUAAAGCUAACAGUGUUAAUUGACAGUUCUGUUCGA
Molecule: ribosomal RNA, 629 nt
Filed under: Stanisicarion freycineti
Lineage: Eukaryota; Metazoa; Mollusca; Gastropoda; Stylommatophora; Helicarionidae
Description: partial 16S large subunit ribosomal RNA
Rfam family: Archaeal large subunit ribosomal RNA (bases 174-374)
Source: RNAcentral